This 253-nucleotide ribosomal RNA is filed under the name uncultured bacterium. Its description in RNAcentral is "partial 16S ribosomal RNA". It matches the Rfam family "Bacterial small subunit ribosomal RNA", at positions 524 to 776 of the family's 1533-position model. The record is from RNAcentral.
UACGAAGGGGGCUAGCGUUGCUCGGAAUCACGGGGCGUAAAGGGUGCGUAGGCGGGUUUUUAAGUCAGGGGGGAAAUCCUGGAGCUCAACUCCAGAACUGCCUUUGAUACUGAAGAUCUUGAGUUCGGGAGAGGUGAGUGGAACUGCGAGUGUAGAGGUGAAAUGCGCAGAUAUCAGGAGGAACACCCGUGGCGAAAGCGGCUCUCUGGGACGGUACUGACGCUGAGACGCGAAAGCGUGGGGAGCAAACAGG